RNAcentral lists this transfer RNA (110 nucleotides) under Botrytis cinerea. RNAcentral describes it as "tRNA-Glu". It matches the Rfam family "tRNA". Rfam says of the family: Transfer RNA (tRNA) molecules are approximately 80 nucleotides in length. Their secondary structure includes four short double-helical elements and three loops (D, anti-codon, and T loops). The record is from RNAcentral. Lineage: Eukaryota; Fungi; Ascomycota; Leotiomycetes; Helotiales; Sclerotiniaceae. RNAcentral also lists the same sequence under 1 other name.
UCCGAAUUAGUGUAGGGGUUAACAUAACUCGCUUUCAUACCUCUUCUUCGUCAUUCGAAUAAGGAGUUUCUUGAUCCGAGUAGCCCCGGGUUCGAUUCCCGGAUUCGGAA